CUUCAGAAUGUGAUGGUUUGGAGAUAGGGCC
RNAcentral lists this non-coding RNA (31 nucleotides) under Homo sapiens (human). Lineage: Eukaryota; Metazoa; Chordata; Mammalia; Primates; Hominidae. The record is from RNAcentral.